GGACUCUACAAGGUGUCGAAAGCGUUCCACAGGGAUGCUGGUCCAUGUUGACUCUACAAGGUGUCGAAAGCGUUCCACAGGGAUGCUGGUCCAUGUUGACUCUACAAGGUGUCUAAAGCGUUCCACAGGGAUGCUGGCCCAUGUUGACUCUACAAGGUGUCGAAAGCGUUCCACAGGGAUGCUGGUCCAUGUUGACUCUACAAGGUGUUGAAAGCGUUCCACAGGGAUGCUGGUCCAUGUUGACUCUACAAGGUGUCGAAAGCGUUCCACAGGGAUGCUGGUCCAUGUUGACUCUACAAGGUGUCGAAAGCGUUCCACAGGGAUGCUGGCCCAUGUUGACUCUACAAGGUGUUGAAAGCGUUCCACAGGGAUGCUGGCCCAUGUUGACUCUACAAGGUGUCGAAAGCGUUCCACAGGGAUGCUGGCCCAUGUUGACUCUACAAGGUGUUGAAAGCGUUCCACAGGGAUGCUGGCCCAUGUUGACUCCAAUGCUUCCCACAGUUGUGUC
Oncorhynchus keta (chum salmon) is the source of this 508-nucleotide long non-coding RNA. RefSeq lists it as uncharacterized. The record is from RefSeq and is a predicted model, not a curated record. Lineage: Eukaryota; Metazoa; Chordata; Actinopteri; Salmoniformes; Salmonidae. The transcript has 3 exons.